ACGGACGAAAUCAGUGAUCCUAUGCUGCCGAGAAAAGCAUCGACGCGAGGUUCCAAUCGCCCGUACCCCAAACCGACUCAGGUGGUCAGGUAGAGAAUACUAAGGAGAUCGAGAGAAUCGUGGUUAAGGAACUCGGCAAAAUGCCCCCGUAACUUCGGGAGAAGGGGGGCCUGAGGCGUGUAGGGAUUUACUCCUGAAGCGUUUGAAGGCCGCAGAGACCAGUGGGAAGCGACUGUUUACUAAAAACACAGGUCCGUGCUAAGUCGCAAGACGAUGUAUACGGACUGACGCCUGCCCGGUGCUGGAAGGUUAAGAGGAACGGUUAGCACGCAAGUGCGAAGCUGAGAAUUUAAGCCCCAGUAAACGGCGGUGGUAACUAUAACCAUCCUAAGGUAGCGAAAUUCCUUGUCGGGUAAGUUCCGACCUGCACGAAUGGCGUAACGACUUCCCAGCUGUCUCAACCGCGAACUCGGCGAAAUUGCACUACGAGUAAAGAUGCUCGUUACGCGCAGCAGGACGGAAAGACCCCGUGACCUUUACUACAGCUUGGUAUUGGUGUUCGGUGUGGCUUGUGUAGGAUAGGUGGGAGACUGUGAAGCUCGGACGCUAGUUCGGGUGGAGUCAUUGUUGAAAUACCACUCUGGUCACUCUGGAUAUCUAACUUCGAACCGUAAUCCGGUUCAGGGACAGUGCCUGGUGGGUAGUUUAACUGGGGCGGUUGCCUCCUAAAGAGUAACGGAGGCGCCCAAAGGUUCCCUCAACCUGGUUGGUAAUCAGGUGUCGAGUGUAAGUGCACAAGGGAGCUUGACUGUGAGACUGACAAGUCGAGCAGGGACGAAAGUCGGGACUAGUGAUCCGGCAGUGGCUUGUGGAAGCGCUGUCGCUCAACGGAUAAAAGGUACCUCGGGGAUAACAGGCUGAUCUUGCCCAAGAGUCCAUAUCGACGGCAUGGUUUGGCACCUCGAUGUCGGCUCGUCGCAUCCUGGGGCUGGAGUAGGUCCCAAGGGUUGGGCUGUUCGCCCAUUAAAGCGGUACGCGAGCUGGGUUUAGAACGUCGUGAGACAGUUCGGUCCCUAUCCGCUGCGCGCGUAGGAAAUUUGAGAAGAUCUAUCCCUAGUACGAGAGGACCGGGAUGGACGAACCUCUGGUGUGUCAGUUGUUCCGCCAGGAGCACCGCUGAUUAGCUACGUUCGGAACGGAUAACCGCUGAAAGCAUCUAAGCGGGAAGCCGGCUUCGAGAUGAGAUUUCCAUCCCUUUUAGGGUGAAGGCUCCCGGCUAGACUACCGGGUUGAUAGGCAGGAUGUGGAAGCGAGGACUAAAGACUCGUGGAGCUGACCUGUACUAAUAAGCCGAUAUCUUGAAAAC
RNAcentral lists this ribosomal RNA (1366 nucleotides) under Clavibacter michiganensis. RNAcentral describes it as "partial 23S ribosomal RNA". It matches the Rfam family "Bacterial large subunit ribosomal RNA", at positions 1581 to 2925 of the family's 2925-position model. Lineage: Bacteria; Bacillati; Actinomycetota; Actinomycetes; Micrococcales; Microbacteriaceae. The record is from RNAcentral.